Molecule: ribosomal RNA, 593 nt
Filed under: uncultured bacterium
Lineage: Bacteria
Description: bacterial SSU rRNA
Rfam family: Bacterial small subunit ribosomal RNA
Source: RNAcentral
CCUACGGGAGGCAGCAGUGGGGAAUAUUGGACAAUGGGCGAAAGCCUGAUCCAGCAAUGCCGCGUGAGUGAUGAAGGCCUUAGGGUUGUAAAGCUCUUUUACCAGGGAUGAUAAUGACAGUACCUGGAGAAUAAGCUCCGGCUAACUCCGUGCCAGCAGCCGCGGUAAUACGGAGGGAGCUAGCGUUGUUCGGAAUUACUGGGCGUAAAGCGUACGUAGGCGGUUAUUCAAGUCAGAGGUGAAAGCCUGGAGCUCAACUCCAGAACUGCCUUUGAAACUAGAUAGCUAGAAUCUUGGAGAGGUGAGUGGAAUUCCGAGUGUAGAGGUGAAAUUCGUAGAUAUUCGGAAGAACACCAGUGGCGAAGGCGACUCACUGGACAAGUAUUGACGCUGAGGUACGAAAGCGUGGGGAGCAAACAGGAUUAGAUACCCUGGUAGUCCACGCCGUAAACGAUGAUAACUAGCUGUUCGGGCUCUACGAGCUUGAGUGGCGCAGCUAACGCAUUAAGUUAUCCGCCUGGGGAGUACGGUCGCAAGNUUAAAACUUAAGAUAGUAGCGNGNGAGNGCGACGACGACGACGACGGAGGAGGAG